Long non-coding RNA from Cydia amplana, 256 nucleotides. RefSeq lists it as uncharacterized. NCBI's taxonomy places the organism in Eukaryota, Metazoa, Arthropoda, Insecta, Lepidoptera, Tortricidae. The record is from RefSeq and is a predicted model, not a curated record. The transcript has 5 exons.
ACAUGCGCAAACGCAGAUCGCGAUGCGUGUACUAUUCUUGCUCUGUCUGUUGGUGAUAAUAGUGCAGGCGUAUGAUGACCGAGCGGGUUCCGUGAGCAGCGUUAGGUCGCCAAAUCCUAGAGUUGUACAAAAACUAUCAUUUUUCAAUUCUAUUGCUACCCUGGCUGAGAUUAUAGCUAAUGUUUUGGGGAUAGUUAUGGAUGGAAAGAAAAUUAAAGAAGAUGGCGUUGGGUAACGAGUGGCGAAGUUUUGGGUA